The sequence is a ribosomal RNA, 1811 nucleotides long. It matches the Rfam family "Eukaryotic small subunit ribosomal RNA". The record is from Rfam.
UACCUAGUUGAUUCUGCUAGUAGUUAUAUGCUUGUCUCAAAGAUUAAGCUAUGUAUGUCUAAGUAUAAGCAAUUAUACUGUAAAACUGCGAAUGGCUUAUUAAAUUAGUUAUCGUUUAUUUAAUAGUACCUUACUACUUAGAUAACUGUAGUAAUUCUAGAGCUAAUAUAUGCUGAAAACCCUAACUUCAGGAGGGGUGUAUUUAUUAGAUAAAAAACUAACGCCCUUUAGGGCUUCUUAGUAAUUUAUAAUAACUUUAUAGAUUGCAUAGCCUUGCGCCGGCGACGGUUUAUUUAAAUUUCUGCCCUAUUAACUUUCGAUGGUAAGGUAUUAGCUUACUAUAGUUUUAAUGAGUAACGGGGAAUUAGAGUUUAAUUCUAGAGAGGGAGCUUAAGAAAUAGCUACUAUAUCUAAGAAAGGCAGCAAGCGCGUAAAUUACCUAAUCUUAACAUAGAGAGGUAGUAACAAUAAAUACUAAUAUAGAGCUCUUUUAAGUCUUGUAAUUAGAAUAAGUAUAAUUUAAACCUCUUAACGAGAAACAAUUAGAGGGCAAGUCUAGUACUAGCAGCUACAGUAAUUCUAGCUCUAAUAGCGUAUAUUAAAGUUAUUAUAGUUAAAAAGCUCGUAGUUAAAUCUUAAGUCUAGCUAGUAGGUCUGCCUUACUGCGUAUACUUGUCUAGCUAGGCCUUUCUUCUAGAGAAUCUUAUGCCCUUUACUAGGCGUGUUAGAGACUAGGACUUUUACUUUAAAAAAAUUAGAGUGUUUAAAGCAGGCCUUUGCUUAAAUACGUUAGUAUAGAAUAAUAGAAUAGAAUGUGCAGUUCUAUUUUAUUAGUUUCUAAGACUGCUGUAAUAAUUAAUAGAGACAGUUAGAGGCAUUAGUAUUUAAUUAUUAGAGGUAAAAUUCUUGAAUUUAUUAAAGACUAACUACUGCGAAAGCAUUUGCUAAGGAUGUUUUCAUUAAUUAGUAAACGAAAGUUAGGGGAUCGAAGAUGAUUAGAUACUGUCGUAGUCUUAACCGUAAACUAUGCUGACUAGAGAUUAGGCGAUGUUCUUUUUCUGACUCGCUCGGCACCUUACGAGAAAUCAAAGUUUUUGGGUUCUGGGGGGAGUAUGGUCGCAAGGCUGAAACUUAAAGAAAUUGACGGAAGGGCACCACCCAGGCGUGGAGCCUGCGGGCUUAAUUUGACUCAACACGGGGAAACUCACCAGGUCCAGAUGAAAUAAGGAUUGACAGGAUUGAGAGCUCUUUCCUUGAUUUUUCAGGUGGUGGUGCAUGGCCGUUCUUAGUUGGUGGAGUGAUUUGUCUGCUUAAUUGCGAUAACCGAACGAGACCUUAACCUGCUAAAUAGGCCAGGCUAGCUUUGGCUGGUCGCCGGCUUCUUAGAGGGACUAUCGGCUCAAGCCGAUGGAAGUUUGAGGCAAUAACAGGUCUGUGAUGCCCUUAGAUGUUCUGGGCCGCACGCGCGCUACACUGACAGAGCCAACGAGUUCUUCACCUUGGCCGAAAGGUCUGGGUAAUCUUGUUAAACUCUGUCGUGCUGGGGAUAGAGCAUUGCAAUUAUUGCUCUUCAACGAGGAAUGCCUAGUAAGCGCGUGUCAUCAGCAUGCGUUGAUUACGUCCCUGCCCUUUGUACACACCGCCCGUUCGCUACUACCGAUUGAAUGGCUCAGUGAAGGCCUUCGGACUGGGCUUAGGGAGGUUGGCAACGACCACCUUGAGCCGGAAAAGUUCGUCAAAACUCGAGUCAUUUAGAGGAAGUAAAAGUUCGUAACAAGGUUUCCGUAGGUGAACCUGCGGAAGGAUCAUUA